Molecule: ribosomal RNA, 274 nt
Filed under: uncultured bacterium
Lineage: Bacteria
Description: partial 16S ribosomal RNA
Rfam family: Bacterial small subunit ribosomal RNA
Source: RNAcentral
CUACUUAGGGUGCGAGCGUUAAUCGGAAUUACAGGGCGUAAAGCGAGUGUAGGCGGCUAUAUAAGUCGGAUGUGAAAGCCCCGGGCUCAACCUGGGAAUUGCAUUCGAAACUGUAUAGCUAGAGUUUGGUAGAGGUAAGUGGAAUUCAGGGUGUAGCGGUGAAAUGCGUAGAUAUCCUGAGGAACAUCAGUGGCGAAGGCGGCUUACUGGACCAAAACUGACGCUGAGGCUCGAAAGCGUGGGGAGCAAACAGGAUUAGAAACCCCAGUAGUCC